Molecule: long non-coding RNA, 385 nt
Filed under: Capsicum annuum
Lineage: Eukaryota; Viridiplantae; Streptophyta; Magnoliopsida; Solanales; Solanaceae
Description: long non-coding RNA (CANN_LNC013288)
Source: RNAcentral
ACAAAUGCACAAAAGAGAGAAGUUUGGAAGCAAAUACAUGAUACAUUAUCAAAAACAAAAGAACGGAGAGAAGUUUGGAAGCAAAUACAUGAUACAUUAUCAAAAACAAAAGAACGGAGAGAAGUUUGGAAGCAAAUACAUGAUACAUUAUCAAAAACAAAAGCGUGCGAAUAAUAGUUCCAUCAUAGUUAAUAUGUUGAUUUCCAGUCUUCCAAGUUCACAUCUCCAUAGCUCUGUAGCUAUCCUUUUCGAUUCCCUGCACCUUGGUUCAAUAACCACAAGAAAGCUCGAAAUUCUAAUUCCAUUUCUUUAUCUUUACAAUCCAUGAGGUCGGUCAUUUGGGAAGCAAUAUUGUUACUGGAAAGACUCACAAGUCUCGCUCAAC